UCAGUUCAGAUCGUAGGCUGCAACUCGCCUACGUGAAGUAGGAAUCGCUAGUAAUCGCAGGUCAGCAUACUGCGGUGAAUACGUUCCCGGGCCUUGUACACACCGCCCGUCACACCAUGGAAGUUGGCCACGCCCGAAGUCGUUACUUUAACCCUUGUGGAGAAGGACGCCGAAGGUGGGGCUGAUGACUGGGGUGAAGUCGUAACAAGGUAGCCGUACCGGAAGGUGCGGCUGGAUCACCUCCUGA
RNAcentral lists this ribosomal RNA (247 nucleotides) under uncultured cyanobacterium. Its description in RNAcentral is "partial 16S ribosomal RNA". It matches the Rfam family "Bacterial small subunit ribosomal RNA", at positions 1288 to 1533 of the family's 1533-position model. Lineage: Bacteria; Bacillati; Cyanobacteriota. The record is from RNAcentral.